Molecule: long non-coding RNA, 1351 nt
Filed under: Triticum aestivum (bread wheat)
Lineage: Eukaryota; Viridiplantae; Streptophyta; Magnoliopsida; Poales; Poaceae
Description: long non-coding RNA (TAES_LNC011175)
Source: RNAcentral
GUCCAUCCACUACACCCACUUCUACGAUUCAGUCCGAGUAAGCUGCCCUCGUUGCGGCCAUGGAAUUCCUGAUGCAGCCCAUUCGCAGGUGAGGGGCCGUUUCUAAGAUGCUUGAGGGUGUUUGUGCGAAUCGUUGAUUGGAUUCUUGUAGUGACUGAAUCCUCUUUUUGGUUUGUGCGUCGUCAGGACGACAGUGCUAUAGGAGGUUAACGACAGUGAAAUCCCCCUGGAGCCACUGAGAUACCCGGUGCCAGUGCAGCUGGUGGAGUAGCAGCAAUCGAUGGUGGAAGCAGGGAGCGCGAAUGGCCAGAUCUGCGCUCAGCAGGGGAGGAUGGCGGCGGAGGGAGCGGAUCCUCCACCGGCGUCUGGACUGUCGGCUUGAACGGUGAACCCGCAGGCCCUAGGCUAGCGGAAAAAGGUGUGAAUCUGAACCCAUUUUGUUCAGUGGUGGUGCUGUACAGAUCUACCGGUUGCUAUUCGGUUAGUUGGUCUGCAAGAUUAUGCUGCCUGCUUUAGUGUGUAUGAUUGGUGGUGACAGUGUAGGAUUCUUUGGAUUUCAAACCGCCGCCUGUUAAAUUUGGUGUCGAUUUCAGAUAGUUUGGUUGCAUUAACAGAGGGAACAGGGUUAUAGGUUUGUGGUGGGUGUCUGAGCCUGAUUGCAAGGGUCAUCCUGUAUGAUGGAACGCCAACUUAGCAUUUGCAAAACAACCCUGGAGCACACAUGGGGAUUUUUGUGUGUGCUGCGUCUGAAAACAAUGCAUAGGAGCUAUUAAACAGGGCGUUCAUAGUGAUGAAAACGUACAGGAGGGAACACUUUCUGUAACUAAGCAUAUGUUAAUACUUAAUACAUGCAGUUAUGAUUUACCUGUAUCUCAUACGGCACUUCCGAUAAGAUUUUCAGAAAUUUGUGGCUGUUACAGACAUGGUCGAGUACCCUCCUGAUGCAAGAUAUGGAUUUUCUCUGGUUGUUGUUGGUGUGCAGGGUGCGAGUUGGUGCUGCUGCUCCAGGAAGAACGCGUGUCCGGACCGCACGUCGGCAUUGGAGAAAACGAUCCGGUCUUUUGCAGAUAAUCUGGUCUUUUGGAGGAACGAGUUUUGACUCGCUGGGGAAGUGUAUGAUUUCUACACUUUGUACUAGUUAACUGCCCGUGGGUUGAAACGGGGCCAUACAUAUUUUUAUUUUUAUUUUUUGCGGGCGACAUAUUUUAGGGGUUUAACAUCAAUUGUAUCAAACAUGUACCUCAUAAUACAAUCCAAUCUUUUUGGUAGAUAUUAUAUUUAAGGAUUGAACUCUGAGCAAUAAAAAGUGAAACAAUUCAUAAGGAAAUAUAAAUAUACUCUUAAGUUAUUU